This 253-nucleotide ribosomal RNA is filed under the name uncultured bacterium. Its description in RNAcentral is "partial 16S ribosomal RNA". It matches the Rfam family "Bacterial small subunit ribosomal RNA", at positions 524 to 776 of the family's 1533-position model. The record is from RNAcentral.
UACGGAGGGUGCAAACGUUGCUCGGAGUCAUUGGGCGUAAAGCGCACGUAGGCGGUCGCGCAAGUUGGAUGUGAAAGCCCCGGGCUCAACCUGGGAAGUGCAUCCAAAACUGCGCGACUCGAGUCCCAGAGGGGGUCGGAGAAUUCCCGGUGUAGAGGUGAAAUUCGUAGAUAUCGGGAGGAAUACCAGUGGCGAAGGCGCCGACCUGGAGGGGUACUGACGCUGAGGUGCGAAAGCGUGGGGAGCAAACAGG